GAGAUCACCCCUUGUUUUUUGGUGGGGUUCGAGUUGUUUAUUCUUUAGUUUUCUAUGUUGUGUCGUGUGUGCUGUUGUUUGUUUGUCUUUUUCAUUUUUAGCCAUGGCGUUGUCAGUUUGUUUUAGAUUUAUGAGUUUGACUGUCCCUUUGGUAUCUUUCGUCCCUCUUUUACCUUAGAUGCAGUUGACAAAACCUUUCGGGUCCUAAAUGCUUUUCAACGUUGUAUUUCAAUUGACCAUCUUAAAAUUUUAUUCGACCGUCACUAAUGAGUAAUAGAUUGAAGACAAAACGCGCGUCUGGUGUACACAACUUUAAUGCUGGUAUCAAUGAGUGUAUAGCUGUGUCUCUUGUAUAAAACCAACCGUGUUGCAUUUAUUAAUGAGUUCGAAUAUCACAAUUGCAUUGACA
Molecule: long non-coding RNA, 409 nt
Filed under: Mytilus galloprovincialis (Mediterranean mussel)
Lineage: Eukaryota; Metazoa; Mollusca; Bivalvia; Mytilida; Mytilidae
Source: RNAcentral